Molecule: ribosomal RNA, 253 nt
Filed under: uncultured bacterium
Lineage: Bacteria
Description: partial 16S ribosomal RNA
Rfam family: Bacterial small subunit ribosomal RNA
Source: RNAcentral
UACGGGGGGGGCAAGCGUUGUUCGGAAUUACUGGGCGUAAAGGGCGCGUAGGCGGCCCUCUAAGUCAGACGUGAAAUCCCUCGGCUUAACCGGGGAACUGCGUCUGAUACUGGAUGGCUUGAGUUUGGGAGAGGGAUGCGGAAUUCCAGGUGUAGCGGUGAAAUGCGUAGAUAUCUGGAGGAACACCGGUGGCGAAGGCGGCAUCCUGGACCGAUACUGACGCUGAGGAGCGAAAGCCAGGGGAGCAAACGGG